Molecule: ribosomal RNA, 429 nt
Filed under: Chloroflexota bacterium
Lineage: Bacteria; Bacillati; Chloroflexota
Description: Chloroflexi bacterium partial 16S ribosomal RNA
Rfam family: Bacterial small subunit ribosomal RNA
Source: RNAcentral
UGGGGAAUAUUGCACAAUGGGCGCAAGCCUGAUGCAGCCAUGCCGCGUGUAUGAAGAAGGCCUUCGGGUUGUAAAGUACUUUCAGUCGGGAGGAAGGUGGUAAGGUUAAUAACCUUGGCAAUUGACGUUACCGACAGAAGAAGCACCGGCUAACUCCGUGCCAGCAGCCGCGGUAAUACGGAGGGUGCAAGCGUUAAUCGGAAUUACUGGGCGUAAAGCGCACGCAGGCGGUCUGUCAAGUCGGAUGUGAAAUCCCCGGGCUCAACCUGGGAUCUGCAUUCGAAACUGGCAGGCUAGAGUCUUGUAGAGGGGGGUAGAAUUCCAGGUGUAGCGGUGAAAUGCGUAGAGAUCUGGAGGAAUACCGGUGGCGAAGGCGGCCCCCUGGACAAAGACUGACGCUCAGGUGCGAAAGCGUGGGGAGCAAACAGG